UGUAACAUUGAUAUAUUACAAUAUAUCCGCCUGCGUACAGGUGUGAGUGUGCGUGUCGUGACCCGUAGAAAACUCAAGUGCACACACGUCGGUUUUCUUUUUGCUUUUUUUAAAAAAACAUCUUCCCGGCGGUGUUUCUAUACUCCUUUAUACCGAUUAUGAGAAGCGACAAAGUUGCGGACACGCGCAUAUGCACACAACCGAUUUGAUCGCCGGCAGUUGACAGUGUACUGUAGCCAUCACUCAUGUCACGAAGUUGAAAAAUAAUAAAAUCCACCUGCAGCAGAUCAGGUCUAAUUGCAUUUGAGCUAUGGCAUUUUACUAAAUAUAAGUGUAAUCAGGAUCGGAUUGGGUACCUCACCGCUGCAAUUGACCGAAAAAAAGCCUUGGAAACAGGCCGUAACUCAUACCUAAUAAUUAUUUACUUACAUUUGAUGGUUUAUUUGUUUCCACCAAAAAUGGCCACAACUAUCAUGUAUAUACUUGAUUAUAAUACU
Molecule: long non-coding RNA, 497 nt
Organism: Myzus persicae (green peach aphid)
Lineage: Eukaryota; Metazoa; Arthropoda; Insecta; Hemiptera; Aphididae
Exons: 4
Source: RefSeq, a predicted model, not a curated record